RNAcentral lists this ribosomal RNA (253 nucleotides) under uncultured bacterium. RNAcentral's name for it is "partial 16S ribosomal RNA". It matches the Rfam family "Bacterial small subunit ribosomal RNA", at positions 524 to 776 of the family's 1533-position model. The record is from RNAcentral.
GACGUAGGAUGCAAGCGUUGUCCGGAAUUAUUGGGCGUAAAGAGUUCGUAGGUGGUUUGCCAAGUCUGACGUUAAAGCCCGAAGCUCAACUUCGGUUCGGCAUCGGAAACUGGCAGGCUAGAGUCUGGUAGAGGCAAGGGGAAUUCCCGGUGUAGCGGUGAAAUGCGUAGAGAUCGGCAGGAACACCAGUGGCGAAGGCGGCCACCUAGCCCGCACCUGACGCUGAGGCGCGAAAGCGUGGGGAGCGAACUGG